RNAcentral lists this ribosomal RNA (682 nucleotides) under Escherichia coli. RNAcentral's name for it is "bacterial SSU rRNA". It matches the Rfam family "Bacterial small subunit ribosomal RNA", at positions 844 to 1526 of the family's 1533-position model. Lineage: Bacteria; Pseudomonadati; Pseudomonadota; Gammaproteobacteria; Enterobacterales; Enterobacteriaceae. The record is from RNAcentral.
UUCCGGAGCUAACGCGUUAAGUCGACCGCCUGGGGAGUACGGCCGCAAGGUUAAAACUCAAAUGAAUUGACGGGGGCCCGCACAAGCGGUGGAGCAUGUGGUUUAAUUCGAUGCAACGCGAAGAACCUUACCUGGUCUUGACAUCCACAGAACUUUCCAGAGAUGGAUUGGUGCCUUCGGGAACUGUGAGACAGGUGCUGCAUGGCUGUCGUCAGCUCGUGUUGUGAAAUGUUGGGUUAAGUCCCGCAACGAGCGCAACCCUUAUCCUUUGUUGCCAGCGGUCCGGCCGGGAACUCAAAGGAGACUGCCAGUGAUAAACUGGAGGAAGGUGGGGAUGACGUCAAGUCAUCAUGGCCCUUACGACCAGGGCUACACACGUGCUACAAUGGCGCAUACAAAGAGAAGCGACCUCGCGAGAGCAAGCGGACCUCAUAAAGUGCGUCGUAGUCCGGAUUGGAGUCUGCAACUCGACUCCAUGAAGUCGGAAUCGCUAGUAAUCGUGGAUCAGAAUGCCACGGUGAAUACGUUCCCGGGCCUUGUACACACCGCCCGUCACACCAUGGGAGUGGGUUGCAAAAGAAGUAGGUAGCUUAACCUUCGGGAGGGCGCUUACCACUUUGUGAUUCAUGACUGGGGUGAAGUCGUAACAAGGUAACCGUAGGGGAACCUGCGGUUGGAUCAC